Molecule: long non-coding RNA, 389 nt
Filed under: Physcomitrium patens
Lineage: Eukaryota; Viridiplantae; Streptophyta; Bryopsida; Funariales; Funariaceae
Description: long non-coding RNA (PPAT_LNC012520)
Source: RNAcentral
UGUAGUGAACAAUAUUUUGGAACAUUGUUACCUUUGCAAUAGUAAUAGAUAUCUACAACUUAAAUUCAAAGUCCUUUAAAAAGUUUAUUCCAUGUAUGAUAUAAUAUAGAAAUCUAUAUAGAACAUCAUCCAUUAUCAAGAAAUAAUUUGGAUAUACCAUUAAAAGCAAAACAAGGAUGUUCCGCAUUAAUAAAAGGGAAUUAACUAUAACAAGAUAUGGAUAAGAUAUUUGUAUUGUCGAUGCAUAAAUAUAGGUAGUUGAAGCCAUAUUUAAAAUAUUUUUAGAAGUUUUUAGAAGUUUUAAGAAUUGAGACUAAGUUAGUGGUUUAUUUAGGAUCCACUAAAAAACAUUCUAGAAAUAUCUUAAGGCAAUUAUUUAAAUCAAAUCC